AGCAGCUGCCCAGGCCCCGAGGGUCCAGCGCCCCCUCCGCACCCACCCGCGCCGCGGGGAGGCCCAGCCGCCGGGCCUUUCAGAGGUAAUUAGCCUCAUGCAUAUGGAUGCCCCGCGCUCCAAAGAGGUUGCGCGGUCGUAACCUGACCACCGGAGGAGUGCGGGAAGAAAAGACCACUUUCUGGGCUGGGCCUCCAGCAGAAAGCAGGCAGCUGGGCGCCGCGCCGGUGUGACCGCCGCCGCCGGGCUUCUCCCUCCGCAGCGCGCGGGGCUGCAGCGCCCGGUGACCCACGGGCCUCGCAGGCGGCCCUGCCCGGUCCCUGUGCAGCGUCGCGGUAAUGCUAUCGGCUCUGGGAAUUCAUUCUGCAGCUUUCCUUUUCCUUGAUGGUUUUCAUUUCCUGUCUUUCAGAGCUGGAAGCGUUUAUGGAAUAUCACAUGGUUUUCGUUUACACAGGAAGUCAGCUGCAGUGUCACUGUUUUCCGAAGUGGCCUGUGACUACACGCAGAAAGCAGCAGUUUAUUUCUGACACGUGGUAAUCACUCUACGUGAGGAAAGCUCAGCAGGAAGAGGCGCUUUUGCUUUUCCCGGAGCUUAAGCGUGAGCCCGGGGGAUGGGCGAGGGGCCCCCGGGACUGGCCUCGGAGCAGCUGGGAGCCCAGCCUGGACCCGGCGCGGCUCUGGCCGCCUGCCAAGCUCGGUUCCCACCCUUCCGGGGGAAAACA
Molecule: long non-coding RNA, 722 nt
Organism: Pipistrellus kuhlii (Kuhl's pipistrelle)
Lineage: Eukaryota; Metazoa; Chordata; Mammalia; Chiroptera; Vespertilionidae
Exons: 2
Source: RefSeq, a predicted model, not a curated record